AGGACGAACGCUGGCGGCGUGCCUAAUACAUGCAAGUCGAACGGUCUUUCUAUGGAAGCUUGCUUCCACUGAGAAGAUAGUGGCGAACGGGUGAGUAACACGUGGGUAACCUGCCCAUAAGAGGGGGGAUAACAUCCGGAAACGGGUGCUAAUACCGCAUAGUUUUCUUGAUCGCAUGAUUGAGAAAGGAAAGACGGCCUUUGUGCUGUCGCUUAUGGAUGGACCCGCGGCGUAUUAGUUAGUUGGUGAGGUAACGGCUCACCAAGACGAUGAUACGUAGCCGACCUGAGAGGGUGAUCGGCCACAUUGGGACUGAGACACGGCCCAAACUCCUACGGGAGGCAGCAGUAGGGAAUCUUCCGCAAUGGACGAAAGUCUGACGGAGCAACGCCGCGUGAGUGAAGAAAGGUUUUCGGAUCGUAAAACUCUGUUGUCAGAGAAGAGCAAGUUGGAGAGUAACUGCUCCAGCCUUGACGGUAUCUGACCAGAAAGCCACGGCUAACUACGUGCCAGCCGCCGC
Molecule: ribosomal RNA, 520 nt
Filed under: uncultured bacterium
Lineage: Bacteria
Description: bacterial SSU rRNA
Rfam family: Bacterial small subunit ribosomal RNA
Source: RNAcentral